UGUUCUAAAGAAGGACUUUUAUUUUGAUAUAGUUUUGACUUUUUUCCAUAGUUCUUCCUAUUGUUUCCUGUUUUAAGAGGAAGUAGGCCAUAUUACUUUACUGCUUUAGUUUUACAAGGUACUCCAUGUGGUUGCAGUCAUCAAACAUCAUCAUGCCAUUUAAAGCCCUUUGAAAUGCAAUAUCUAUUCAAGAUUGGGGACCCAAUUAUAACGCUUCAACAUGAAAAAGGGCAGAGAAAGAUUUACCCUACAGGCACUGUUUGGCAGACUGCACUCUGAGCCACUGGGCUACUGCAACAGACCACAAGACCCACUUCUCUUCACGGGACCAAACUCUCUCCGAACUCAAUACCUCGAU
This is a non-coding RNA of Paramisgurnus dabryanus, 358 nucleotides long. The record is from RefSeq and is a predicted model, not a curated record. NCBI's taxonomy places the organism in Eukaryota, Metazoa, Chordata, Actinopteri, Cypriniformes, Cobitidae.